Molecule: ribosomal RNA, 371 nt
Filed under: uncultured organism
Description: bacterial SSU rRNA
Rfam family: Bacterial small subunit ribosomal RNA
Source: RNAcentral
CGAAGGGGGCUAGCGUUGUUCGGAAUCACUGGGCGUAAAGCGCACGUAGGCGGAUGUGCCAGUCAGGGGUGAAAUCCCGGAGCUCAAACUUCGGAACUGCCUCUGAUACAGCACGUCUUGAGUCCGAUAGAGGUGGGUGGAAUUCCUAGUGUAGAGGUGAAAUUCGUAGAUAUUAGGAAGAACACCGGUGGCGAAGGCGGCCCACUGGAUCGGUACUGACGCUGAGGUGCGAAAGCGUGGGGAGCAAACGAGGAUUAGAUACCCUGGUUGUCCACGCCUUAAACGAUGGAUGCUAGCCGUCAGCAAGUCAUGCUUGUUGGUGGCGCAGCUAACGCAUUAAGCAUCCCGCUGGGGAUACGGCCGCAAGGUUA